Molecule: ribosomal RNA, 492 nt
Filed under: uncultured bacterium
Lineage: Bacteria
Description: partial 16S ribosomal RNA
Rfam family: Bacterial small subunit ribosomal RNA
Source: RNAcentral
AGUGAACGCUGGCGGUAGGCCUAACACAUGCAAGUCGAACGGCAGCACAGUAAGAGCUUGCUCUUACGGGUGGCGAGUGGCGGACGGGUGAGGAAUACAUCGGAAUCUACUUUUUCGUGGGGGAUAACGUAGGGAAACUUACGCUAAUACCGCAUACGACCUACGGGUGAAAGCAGGGGAUCUUCGGACCUUGCGCGAUUGAUUGAGCCGAUGUCGGAUUAGCUAGUUGGAGGGGUAAAGGCCCACCAAGGCGACGAUCCGUAGCUGGUCUGAGAGGAUGAUCAGCCACACUGGAACUGAGACACGGUCCAGACUCCUACGGGAGGCAGCAGUGGGGAAUAUUGGACAAUGGGCGCAAGCCUGAUCCAGCCAUACCGCGUGGGUGAAGAAGGCCUUCGGGUUGUAAAGCCCUUUUGUUGGGAAAGAAAAGCAGCAGGUUAAUACCCCGCUGUUCUGACGGUACCCAAAGAAUAAGCACCGGCUAACUUCGUG